Molecule: ribosomal RNA, 164 nt
Filed under: uncultured Leptolinea sp.
Lineage: Bacteria; Bacillati; Chloroflexota; Anaerolineae; Anaerolineales; Anaerolineaceae
Description: partial 16S ribosomal RNA
Rfam family: Bacterial small subunit ribosomal RNA
Source: RNAcentral
ACACACGCUACAAUGGCAGAUACAAUAGGUUGCGAAACCGCGAGGUGGAGCCAAUCCUCAAAGUCUGUCUCAGUUCAGAUUGUAGGCUGCAACUCGCCUGCAUGAAGUUGGAGUUGCUAGUAAACGCAGGUCAGCUAUACUGCGUUGAAUACGUUCCCGGGUUU